ACUGGUGAUAUAUAGGUAUAGAUCUGCUACUUUCCAAUGGCCAAUGGGUUCAGGCUCCACUUAGAAGCAUACUAAAAAUUGUAAUAUCAACCUGCUAAUCUGCUCAGUUAGAAAGUACAGACACUAAACUAUCAGAAUAUGCAAAGAAUGAAAAGGUCAACCUAUGAUAAAAUAACUUCCACAACAUUGAAAUAAUGUUUACAAUUUUUGCUGCAAUAUGCAUGAAGUGUGAAAUGAAACCAGCUUCAGUGUUGCAAAAGUUAUUUCAUUAGUAUCUUAAAUGCCUAGUGGCUGAGUAUACCCUGACUUCAUCCGUGUUGUUACCUAACAUUUAAGGUUAUCCCAUAAGUUUAUUACAUUCUAUGUGUCUGUGAAAAUCAAUGGUUUCCUUUGGUAUACAUUUAAUGAAUUUCAUCCAACAUUCCCUUCGCAAAUUUCAAAACGUCCAAAAAUGAUUUAUCUGACACACCCUUCAACAAUUAGAAUUAUCUGAUUGAAAGUAUUAGUCUUCAUACAAAUAUUUUAUUUCGGUUCACCUUACUACUGCACUCGAUUGAUCAGAAGGCAAAACAAAUUGUUUCAUAGCAAUUUCGGCUCAUAUACCACAUUAGGAAAUAGAAGCCUAGUGGCCCAAGCAUUAGAUGAAUAGUUCAACAUAUUGUACACAGUAAUGUAAAAAUGAAUAUAUGUACCACAUCAGAGUGCUUCCUAAACAUGCUCAAAAGUACACUUCUUCACAAUUUUACCAUUACUGCAAUUUACGGCACCAUACAAAAUGCAGAUGCCACACCAGUACAUAUGACAACACCACUGCCUCCUUUUUCAGAGAUUACCAACACCGUAGCCAUGUUUCUAUAACAUUGAUAAGAACGCAAUUAAUGACGUCUUGUAAUUCAUAAUUUUAUUGAUUUUGCUUGAAACCUUACAGAACGGAGCGUAUUAACGCCAUUAUGGUAGUUGUGUUUUAUCUACUUUAAAGUGGCAGUUACAUCAACACCUUCAAGUAUUAAAUUUUGAUAUUUUAAUGCACAUUGUAUUAAGUUUAUGGAGUACGAAGUGAGGCAUAUUGAAUCUUAAUUUAGUGUUUAUUCAUGUCUCAGGCACAGUUCCGUGUGAUUUUAUAUACACGUUUGUGACUGCAUUCUGUGUUAGGUCGUUAAUAGCACGUACUGAUAACUAAAAUGAUAGAUCAUGAAGACCAUUUGUAAUCGGUGGUUGUGCUUCCGAUUGUUUCGUUUAUCUGUUUUGUGGGAAAGUCAGUUGGUAUGAAAUUAACAUAGAUAUACCUAAUAUAUAUUUUAUAGUCUGUGGUGUUACCUAUGUUCUGUGCUCCCUGAACCCAUGUUUUUAUCUUUGCAUCAUUAGUUGUGUCACCUGUGACUCAGAAAAGGUAGGGUUUUUAUCCUACGCCAGAAUUGGGAUUAUCAGCCAUUAGUCUAUUUCUGGCAGCCUAGUACAGGUUUGAAUCGGCAAUAAAACCAGUAAAUAAGGGCAGUUCUGCAUUUCUGAAGAAGGAAAAAAACUUUAAAAAUAAUAUGGACAGUGAACUGACUGCAGAUGUCAAUUUCACUUCAAGGAUUAAGAACUUCCAGGAGAGUGUAAAUGGAAUUGGAGAACUGUUGAAAAAUGCUUUUGAGAAAGAUGUCUAUGAGAGGCUUGAUAUAGGUGAUCGUGUAAAAUAUGAUUUAUUCUUAUCAUAUACUCUCAAUUCCUUAUUUUGGCUUUACCUGCGUACUCAAGGUGAGGAUCCUGCCAAACAUGCUGUUAAGUCUGAAAUUGAUAGAGUGAGAGAUUAUAAUACUAAAGCUAAACAAGUUCAAGAUCGUAGAACCAUUAUGCCUCGCAUUGAUGUAGCUGCUGCUCAGAGGUUCAUUAGAAGUGGAUUGUGGCAACCAAACCAAAGUGAUAACCAGAAUGCAGAUAUUAAUGUUGAAGGAGCAGAGGGAACAGGUGAAGAAGAUAAUGACACUGUCCCUGAGCACCAGUAGAGUAUCAAUUUUAACAAAGUGAGUUAUGGUUAUUAACACGCAUAAAGACUACAGACUAGUGUGAGUGCAUAUAGACAGCACACACACACAAAAAAUCCUCUUUAUUUUGUUACUACUUGACUCCAUUGUUUUAAAAAUGUGAAAUUGAAGUUUAAGAUUAAUUAGAAAUGUGUGAAUAUGUGAAUUUUAAUUGAUGUAUGCUGCUGAACAGUGCAGUGUAGACCAUUCUUUCUUUUACCAAAAUAAGAAAAUAAUGUAUAAAAAGUUUCUGCAGUGCACAAAUGUAUUAAGAUCUGUGCAAAUACUCUGCCCUCGUAAGUGUUUGUGAUGAAUUACCCUUCAUGGCCUCUGCAUACUAAGCAAAGUGAAGGAAGCUAUUUCAGAGGCCCUUAUGCGACUGCUGUGUCCACAUUGAAGUAAGAACUGUGGGUGUCUGGAUUUCUCCUCUAGCUUCUUCAUCUAGACCAGUUCUGGGGCACACCCAGCCUCCUAUCUGAUGGGUACCAAGGUCCUUCCACAGGGAUAAAGUGUGGCCAGAGCAUGAUGCUGACCACUCACCCCAUCUAGUGCCUAGGUCAAGAAUGAGGAGGAGCUAUACCCCCAAGAGCAUACAUGGCAUAUAAUGGGACAGCUUUAUUUUAUUUAUUUAUGUUACUGUAUAAUUCAUAAGUCAUUGUGUCAGCAACCUUUUAAGAUGUGAAAUAUUUAUUCAGGCAAAUGAGAUGAAGUGACACAUGUAUGAUAUAUGAAAUUAUCUUUAUUAAUCUUUAGCCAUUCACAUGUCCCCUUCUUCUCAUGUAUGUGGUGUGAUGGGACUGUGAUUACAGGUAGGAGCUAAUGUGUUUGCCAGACUAGAUAAGUGGUAGGAGAACUCUUACCUCUAGUGGGAUAACCACGAGUCACCAUUAACUGGGCACUGUUCGACUAUUACAAUUGUAUAUUAUUUCUUGUACCACCAGAUUAAUAGUUUGUUAUAAAUGCUUUCAUGUACUUCUUUCACAAUGGCAGUUUGAGCCUCGGUUAUGUCUUGUGUACUACUUAAUGGUUUCUUAAUGAUGGCCACCCAGUUUCAAGCCUUGAUGAGGAAGGAGCUUUUUGAGUUGUUGGCUUCCCUUCCAGCUUUUGCACAGUCGUGUUAACUGACUCUGUCACCAACUAUCAAGCUACUGCCCAAUCAUGCACCCAGGAAUGGUAGCUAUGCUGUGUUCGUGUUGCAGGUGUGCUGGUGUAUCCCGUGGAAUUUUGGAAAUAUAACGGUGUUUUGUGCAUCUGUUAUUCAAUGGUAUAAGACCAUUACAAUAAUUGGAACAUUUUUUAAACAUCUGAUGAUAGCUAGAUGGAUCUUUGUGGUAUAUCCAUGGAUGGUUAUGGCAUUCAGAUGGAUCAUUGUGGCAAUCAGAUGGUUCCUAAAUUACAAUCGUAAUUCUGUUAUUGAAGAUGUAGAUUCCGACAAUGAAGAAUCAUACCACACAGCGAUAGCGAAAUGUUGUUGGCCUCACGCCCAGCUCCCAAUCUGGAGUACCACCACUUGUCGGCUGUCUGCGACUGCUAAUUCAAUAUAUUCGCGGCUAACCACCAGAACUGGAUGCUGUUCCUCCAUCCGCAACCUGAGGACGGGCCAUGCUGUGGAGACAGGGACCUACCAUACGAGCAUCUGGGUUCUUUAAUUCAAGCAUGUCACUACUCACACUCAUUCGUGGGCAAUGAUCCGACUGGAGCAGAAACGUUCCUGAUGCACGUCAUUCCAAACAUGUGUGCAGCCCUGUAAGCAUGGCUCUUCACUUCUACGUGGAACUCGGGGUUAAUGAUAUAGAGUGCAACUUUGAUUAUGAUAACUAUCACAUUGUAACCCAACAGUGUUAGCCACCACCUCCGGAUGUAUCGCACAGGUUGCAGGUAUACCUCCUCCCCUUGCCAUAGCAACACAAAGGCACCCACCAGGUACCCCAGUGAAAAUAUGUUCACCAUGUUCACGCCAGCCAGACAAAACCUCGCCAGUGUCACCCAAAGGCUUCCCAACCAAUACCCGGUGCAGACCUCUUGUCCCAUCCAUGAGCGCUACAUGCCACCUCCCAUGUGGGAGGUUUCUUUGUCUUUGAAGUGUGCAUUUAAGAGUAGUGAGUGACAAGCCCACCCUGCCUCUGCACAAUUUCCAAUUUUGUUGUGUAGUUUAGUACAUUUAUUCUCGCCUGAACCUAGUAUUUUACAAAACUGCAUAUUCAGAAGAAUAGACAUACAUAUUUGUACUUUCAAAUGUUAACAUUUAUAUUCAGAAUAACGAACUUUAAGUUACACUUACCGUAAAAUCCUUUAACUUCAUCAUGUACGAACACGAACCGCCAUAAUAACUCCUGACUGUUUGUACGCUGUCACCAGAUGUCAUUGAGAACAGAGCGCGCUCAAUUCAAAUACUUUCAAAGACAGUUACGGUGUCAGCAUUGACUCAGAUAGUGUGAUUCGCCCCACUUCCACUAGUACUCCUGAAAUCUUCUACGGAGAAACGACGAGACCCUGGAGCAGGUAUCGUAAUUACAGCUGACUUUGAAAUGGCAUCAUUGAGGGUGACAAUGGCAACUGAAAUAUUUGCCAAAAUGUUGGAUAACAUUCAUUCCUGAGAGCCAUUGUUAUUCAAAAUAUUAUAGUAAAGUCUCAUGUUCUUUAGAAGCAAAACUUCAUUUCUAACUCAGAUUUACGAAAACAUUUUGUGGGUAAAUGGAACAAAAUGCCAAGCAAGAUGCUGCAGUUCUGAAGAGACGUGCAGUAACGUGGUAUAUAUGUAGGAUUUGAGGUUUUCAUGGCAGUGAAUCUGAAGGUGGCCGCCUUCUGGUUUGUUGUGCCGUGUAGUCAGAUAGAAGUUUGCCGACGUUUCAGAGGCCGCCCUAAUGAUGUAGGCACCAAAGACCUCUGAAAUGUCGGUAAACUUCUACUAGACUACAUGGCACAACCCAGAAGACGGCCAUUUUCAGUAACAUGGUAAUUGAUAAAAUUUCAUAGUUUGUAUAUCAUCUGUACACUUAACUUUGUACAAUAAUAGAAUAAAAACCUACAUACACUGUG
Molecule: non-coding RNA, 5045 nt
Organism: Zootermopsis nevadensis
Lineage: Eukaryota; Metazoa; Arthropoda; Insecta; Blattodea; Termopsidae
Source: RefSeq, a predicted model, not a curated record